UAGUCCACGCCGUAAACGAUGUGUGCUAGUUGUCGGGCAGUUUACUGUUCGGUGACGCAGCUAACGCAUUAAGCACACCGCCUGGGGAGUACGGUCGCAAGAUUAAAACUCAAAGGAAUUGACGGGGACCCGCACAAGCGGUGGAGCAUGUUGUUUAAUUCGAAGCAACGCGAAGAACCUUACCUACCCUUGACAUACUCGUCGGGAAUUGCAGAGAUGCUUUUCUUCGGUUCGGCCGGACGAGAUACAGGUGCUGCAUGGCUGUCGUCAGCUCGUGUCGUGAGAUGUUGGGUUAAGUCCCGCAACGAGCGCAACCCUUAUCGUAUGUUGCCAGCAGUUUGGCUGGGCACUCAUGCGAGACUGCCGGUGUUAAGCCGGAGGAAGGUGGGGACGACGUCAAGUCAUCAUGGCCCUUAGGGGUAGGGGCUACAAACGUGCUACAAUGGGUACUACGAGUGGGCAGCUAGGUCGCGAGGCCGUGCUAAUCU
Molecule: ribosomal RNA, 488 nt
Filed under: uncultured bacterium
Lineage: Bacteria
Description: bacterial SSU rRNA
Rfam family: Bacterial small subunit ribosomal RNA
Source: RNAcentral